This 137-nucleotide ribosomal RNA is filed under the name uncultured bacterium. Its description in RNAcentral is "partial 16S ribosomal RNA". It matches the Rfam family "Bacterial small subunit ribosomal RNA", at positions 355 to 507 of the family's 1533-position model. The record is from RNAcentral.
UGGGGAAUUUUCCGCAAUGGGCGAAAGCCUGACGGAGCAACGCCGCGUGAGGGAUGAAGGCCUCUGGGCUGUAUACCUCUUUUCUCAAGGACGAAGAUCUGACGGUACUUGAGGAAUAAGCCACGGCUAAUUCCGUG